UCUGUAUCUAGAGGCAUUGCAGAUGUAGCUGAUAUGCCUGCCACAUAUGUGUCAGUAGGUGGCAGAGAAGCAAGAGGCUAUGUCUAUGCUCUUUGUUCUGACCUAUGAACAUCUAAAUUAUUAGUAGUCUAACAUU
Molecule: small nucleolar RNA, 136 nt
Organism: Arvicanthis niloticus (Nile rat)
Lineage: Eukaryota; Metazoa; Chordata; Mammalia; Rodentia; Muridae
Product: small nucleolar RNA SNORA17
Source: RefSeq, a predicted model, not a curated record